Molecule: ribosomal RNA, 1496 nt
Filed under: marine metagenome
Description: eukaryotic LSU rRNA
Rfam family: Eukaryotic large subunit ribosomal RNA
Source: RNAcentral
GACAUGAGUAUAGGGGCGAAAGACUAAUCGAACCACCUAGUUGCUGGUUUCCUCCGAAGUUUCCCCCAGGAUAGCUGGAACCCGUUGCGAGCCGUGUCAGGUAAAGCGAAUGAUUAGAGGUUUCGGGGUAGAAACUAUCUCGUCCUAUUCUCAAACUUUAAAUGGGCACGAUGCGGUGGCUGCUUAAUUGAGCUGCUGCGUUGGGUCGGGGUUCUUAGUGGGCCAUUUUUGGUAAGCAGAACUGGCGAUGUGGGAUGCACCAGACGCUCGGUUAAGGGGCCUAAGUGCUCGCUCAUUCAGAUACCAUAAAGGGUGUUGGUUGAUGAAGACAGCAGGACGGUGGUCAUGGAAGUCGAAAUCCGCUAAGGAGUGUGUAACAACUCACCUGCCGAAUCAACUAGCCCCGAAAAUGGAUGGCGCUCAAGCGAGCCCCCGAAACCGGGCCAUCCGGGCAGAUGCGACGCCCGGAUGAGUAGGAGGACGCGCCGGUCGCAGCGAAGGCGCGGGCGCGAGCCCCGCUCAGAGCGGCCGGUGGUGCAGAUCUUGGUGUUAGUAGCAAAUAUUCAAAUGAAAACUUUGAAGGCCGAAGUGGAGAAAGGUUUCACGCGAACAACAUUUGGACGUGAGUGACUCGGUCCUAAGGUAUUCCGUAUGGGAUUCAGAAGCCGCGGCUCGUCUGCGGCGUCGGCCGAAAGGGAUACGGGUUUAGAUUCCCGUAGUGUGGACGGUGGUGCUGAGCGGCGACGCGUUCAAACCUGCUGACGACGGCCCGGGCCCUGGGAAGAGUUCUCUUUUCUUUUUAACGCGCCCGCUCGGCCCUGGAAUGCCUUCACGGCUCGAUGGGGCGGAGCGCGCGGCAAAGCGGCUGACUUCCUCAGCCGUCCGGUGCGCUCGGGACGUCCCUUGAAAAGGCAGGGGCGUGCUUAUACACCCGGUCCCAGCCGUACUCAUAACCGCAUCAGGUCUCCAAGGUUAAAAGCCUCUGGCCAAUAGAACAAUGUAGGUAAGGGAAGUCGGCAAAUUGGUUCCGUAAGUUCGCGAUAUGGAAUGGCUCGUCAGCCUGGGUGGUAGAGGCUCGGUCCAUGAAGCCCGCUAGCCGACGGGACUGGCUGGGCCGCCUUCGGGUGCGCCCGGCCGGGCCCGCUUCGGUAGGUGGGUGGAGGGGUCGAGACAGCGCCGGGCGUUCCGGCGACCGGUUAGCGUUCUCGCCACGACUAGCAGGCAAUGACGAACUCGUAGUGACCACAGGAACCCGACUGUUUAAUUAAAACAAAGCAUUGCGAUGGUUGCAAGUCAAUGGUGACGCAAUGUGAUUUCUGCCCAGUGCUCUGAAUGUCAACGUGAUGUAAUUCAAUUAAGCGCGGGUAAACGGCGGGAGUAACUAUGACUCUCUUAAGGUAGCCAAAUGCCUCGUCAUCUAAUUAGUGACGCGCAUGAAUGGAUCAACGAGGUUCCUACUGUCCCUAUCUACUAUCUAGCGAAACCACAGCCAAGGG